RNAcentral lists this ribosomal RNA (205 nucleotides) under uncultured bacterium. RNAcentral's name for it is "partial 16S ribosomal RNA". It matches the Rfam family "Bacterial small subunit ribosomal RNA", at positions 28 to 233 of the family's 1533-position model. The record is from RNAcentral.
GACGAACGCUGGCGGCGUGCUUAACACAUGCAAGUCGAGCGGUAAGGCCCUUUCGGGGGUACACGAGCGGCGAACGGGUGAGUAACACGUGGGUGACCUGCCCUCAGCUCUGGGAUAAAGCCCGGGAAACUGGGUCUAAUACCGGAUAUGACACCAUGACGCAUGUUGUGGGGUGGAAAGCCUUGUGCGGCUGAGGAUGGGCCCG